UUAAUGUUUUUAUAUAUUUUUAGUCACAAUAUAGAUUUUGUUUAAAUACUUUCAAAAUUUUAUUAAUUUCGUAUAUUACUUUGUUUGACGGCAAACGCAUUAUUAAUAAAAUACCAACUUUUUACUUGUUUGACUGCUUUAAAUACCGAUAAGUAAGUAUAUUAUAACUUCAGUGGUACCUAUUUCUAAGACAUGGCCACGUUGUGCUGACGCGGCAGUAUAAUGAAAUCUUCGGGAUAUUCAGCUCUACGCGAACUUACAAGAGAUACAUAUACUUAACAUGUUUGAACUCAUAAGAAUGGUCUCCAUGGGAAGGUAUUAGUAAAAGGUGUCAAUCGAGGUGUGGAAAUAGUAAUAUAAAAAUAAUGGCAUAAAAUUGAUAAUAAAUAUUUAAGUAAGUAA
This is a long non-coding RNA of Manduca sexta (tobacco hornworm), 402 nucleotides long. RefSeq lists it as uncharacterized. The transcript is spliced from 2 exons. The record is from RefSeq and is a predicted model, not a curated record. Lineage: Eukaryota; Metazoa; Arthropoda; Insecta; Lepidoptera; Sphingidae.